Molecule: small nucleolar RNA, 106 nt
Organism: Cynara cardunculus var. scolymus (artichoke)
Lineage: Eukaryota; Viridiplantae; Streptophyta; Magnoliopsida; Asterales; Asteraceae
Source: RefSeq, a predicted model, not a curated record
AUUCCAUGGUAAAGACAUUUCCGAAGAAGAUCCUUGAAUCUCACCCAUGCAUCUUAAACUCUUCAUCUUCUUCUUGAUAAAACAUUAAAAUCUCUUUUCUAAAUUU